This 480-nucleotide small RNA is filed under the name Arabidopsis thaliana (thale cress). RNAcentral describes it as "ATSL025200". The record is from RNAcentral. Lineage: Eukaryota; Viridiplantae; Streptophyta; Magnoliopsida; Brassicales; Brassicaceae.
UUUUAAUAGUAACUGUUUCUCGUGAGUAUUAUUAUAUAGUAAACUAGAUUUUAACCUGCGGUAUACCGCGGAAACAAUUUAUUUUUUAAAUUAAUAUAUAUAUAAGUUUAUAAAUUGUAUCUAUGUAUAAAAUAUUUUUAUUGUAUAGUUUACAAUUUUUAUUAAGUAACGUUCUGUCAAACCCGUCAUGCCAACCCGUCCUCUAAAAAAAAGUCAUUUAUUUUAUUAAUGUUGAUCUUAUUUAUGAUAUGUUUAUGAAUUAUUGUCUAAAUAUUUUGUAAUUUUGUAGUAAUUAAAUGUUAUCAAAUAUCUCUACGGUUUGAUAAUUAUAAUCAUGCAGAAAAGAAAUAUCAAAAAUGAUAAUUUUGUAGUAAUUAAAUGAUAUUAAAUAUUUUAGAAGUUUUAUUUUAGUAAUUAAUCGUGUAGUUAAGGUAGAGAGAUUUUGGAAAGAUUGUUAAAUGUCAAAUAUUUAAUUAGAAA